Molecule: long non-coding RNA, 821 nt
Organism: Zingiber officinale
Lineage: Eukaryota; Viridiplantae; Streptophyta; Magnoliopsida; Zingiberales; Zingiberaceae
Exons: 3
Source: RefSeq, a predicted model, not a curated record
CAUUCAUAAUCUUAGAUUUUUUAUGAUUCCGAGGUUAAUCAUUUUUUUUUUUGUCAAAAUUAUCCUUUCAGUGUUUUUACGCCGACGACUUGCAAGUUGUUCUCCAGCGGCUUGCGAGGCAAGUAGCGAAGCAAAGGCGAGUGAAGUAGGCGGCGAGCAAUGUCAAGCAACGGGGCGAGCGACGAGCAACGACCGAGGCGAAGCUCGCGGUGGCGGCGACGCAACCCAGCCGGCAGUGAUAGCGGGAGCAAAGGAAGAUGAAAGGCAAUGAUUUUUUGGCUUGGGCUUUGUAGCCUAAAUAGUAGAUGAAACCCUAAUACUCACCUUUUAGUUCCAUUCGCCGCGGCUGAGUCACACAGUCACGACCUCCUCUGUCGAAGAAGGAGAAAGCCCCACCUCCGUCUUCGAAGCUGACCAAAUCUGAGGGAGGCAAGCCCCGCCUCUAUCUAGCCAUUUUCAAGCACUAAAUAGGCACUGAAGAAGGAGAAAGCUCCACCUCCAUCUUCGAAGUCGGUCAAAUCUGGGGGAGACAAGCCCUACCUCUAUCUAGCCAUUUUCAUGCACUAAACAGGUGACGAAGAAGGACAAAGCCCUACCUCCAUCUUCAAAGCCGACCAAAUUGGAGAAGUGGAGCAAGGGAAAUCAGAAGGAGAAGGUGAACAAUGUGAUUCUCUUUGACUAAGUGAACUACGAUAAGAUGCUCUUCGAAGUUCCCAAAUACAAGCAAAUCACCCCUUCAGUGUUGUCUGAGGGAUUGCGGGAACAUAGGAGCACAGGAAGUCGAGUGGAAGAUGCAACUAGCGAGAAGGAGGGCAUGGGAG